ACAACGAUUAAACUACAUUAUCAAAGUUGCCGCUGGCGAAAAUAUUUCAAACGCAGCGGCAUAUUUUUCGG
Molecule: long non-coding RNA, 71 nt
Organism: Bactrocera tryoni
Lineage: Eukaryota; Metazoa; Arthropoda; Insecta; Diptera; Tephritidae
Exons: 3
Source: RefSeq, a predicted model, not a curated record